CAGCACGUGGCCAUCGAUAGCACAAUCCUACAUUACUAUUCACUCUUGGUCAUCCGCCUUGAAACAGAUCUCAGUGCAUCAGUACCAGACAAGCAAGAUAACAGCUGAAAGCUCCAGACCACCUGCAAAUAUCAGCUGUCUCAUGCCUAGAACAAGUCACUCAGGAUUCCAAAGCUCCCCGAGGGCAAAUGAAGCCCAGAUCAUAAGCCCUCCGUAUUAUAAUGAGUGACAGAACAUCCCCAAGCAGACUCUUUCGUCUUCACCCAAGGCACCUCCUCUGUGUUAACCCUGCAGUGAAAAGCAGGGAAAUAGCUGUGUGGUUUGGACAGUCUCUCAGCUCCCUGCACUCUCA
Long non-coding RNA from Equus caballus (horse), 352 nucleotides. Lineage: Eukaryota; Metazoa; Chordata; Mammalia; Perissodactyla; Equidae. The record is from Ensembl.